RNAcentral lists this ribosomal RNA (440 nucleotides) under uncultured bacterium. Its description in RNAcentral is "partial 16S ribosomal RNA". It matches the Rfam family "Bacterial small subunit ribosomal RNA", at positions 338 to 795 of the family's 1533-position model. The record is from RNAcentral.
CCUACGGGAGGCAGCAGUGGGGGAUAUUGCACAAUGGGGGCAACCCUGAUGCAGCGACGCCGCGUGAGCGAUGGAGUACCUCGGUAUGUAAAGCUCUGUUAGCAGGGAAGAGAAUGACGGUACCUGACCAAGAAGCACCGGCUAAAUAGGUGCCAGCAGCCGCGGGAAUACGUAGGGGGCCAGCGUUAUCCGGAAUUACUGGGUGUAAAGGGAGCGUAGACGGUGAUGCAAGUCUGGAGUGAAAGGCGGGGGCCCAACCCCCGGACUGCUCUGGAAACUGUGUAACUUGAGUGCAGGAGAGGUAAGCGGAAUUCCUAGUGUAGCGGUGAAAUGCGUAGAUAUUGGGAGGAACACCAGUGGCGAAGGCAGCUUACUGGACUGUAACUGACGUUGAGGCACGAAAGCGUGGGGAGCGAACAGGAUUAGAUACCCCUGUAGUC